RNAcentral lists this ribosomal RNA (399 nucleotides) under uncultured bacterium. RNAcentral describes it as "bacterial SSU rRNA". It matches the Rfam family "Bacterial small subunit ribosomal RNA", at positions 358 to 774 of the family's 1533-position model. The record is from RNAcentral.
GGAAUAUUGCACAAUGGGCGCAAGCCUGAUGCAGCAACGCCGCGUGAGCGAUGAAGGUCUUCGGAUUGUAAAGCUCUGUCCUUGAGGACGAAAAAUGACGGUACUCUUGGAGGAAGCCCCGGCUAACUACGUGCCAGCAGCCGCGGUAAUACGUAGGGGGCGAGCGUUAUCCGGAAUUAUUGGGCGUAAAGAGUACGUAGGUGGUUUUGUAAGCGUAGGGUGAAAGCCCGGGGCUUAACUCCGGCGAGCCCUACGAACUGCAAGACUUGAGUGCAGGAGGGGAAAGUGGAAUUCCUGGUGUAGCGGUGAAAUGCGUAGAUAUCAGGAGGAACACCGGUGGCGAAGGCGACUUUCUGGACUGUAACUGACACUGAGGUACGAAAGCGUGGGGAGCAAACA